Long non-coding RNA from Triticum aestivum (bread wheat), 5626 nucleotides. RefSeq lists it as uncharacterized. NCBI's taxonomy places the organism in Eukaryota, Viridiplantae, Streptophyta, Magnoliopsida, Poales, Poaceae. The transcript has 4 exons. The record is from RefSeq and is a predicted model, not a curated record.
UCAAAAACCUAUCGAUCAACUGCUCUCUCUCUCUCUUGAUCUCUCCAAUCUCCUAUCGCUUGGCCAUGUCUCUUCUAGGGUUCCCAUUUCCGCCGCCUCCCGCCUUCCUCCUCCGCCGCCGCACCUCGCCCUGGCUGCCUCGUGACCCAAACCCGCCACCCCUCUGCCUCUCCCUCUUCCUCUCCCUCGUACUCUCGUCGCCUUCUCCACCUGGACAUGGACGCACCCGCCCCAUUGCGCACGUCUGUGCGUAUUUCCCUGGAACGUCCCCAUGUCGGGAUCCGCCGCCGGCAGUCACUCGAGCGGGUUGGGGGCAUGGAUGCAGCAGCCGCCCCAUUCCCCGCGUCAGUGCAUCCUCGCGUAACCCUAGAGCAUCUUCAAUGUGAGAUCCGCCGCUGCCCGCCGUCUUCACUGCUCGCACGAGCUGAGCCGGCGAGCCCUCGGUUGUCUGCUCCCUCGAUCCCGCCGCUCUCCGUGGUGCCAUCUGUUGUGAAGGCCGCUGUCCACCAUAGAAGGUCGUCGGUCAGUUUGUAAGGGACAUAGUAUAGCUCCUUGUUUACUUUGUUGGUCUGACCUUGAGGUAGUGUAUCUGAUGUCUUGAAUCUUGAUCUGAAAAGAAAAAAACAGUUUUUACAGAAGUAGCAUUUGCAAUUUAGUUAUAUUUUGUUUCAUAUGUAUUCCAAAUUCUCGCUCUUGUGUUAUCUUCAGGGGGGUUCGUGUUAGUCAUCUGAGCAAAGAAAUCUGUUGCCCUUGUGCUAUGUCAUGUAUACUGUUAGACCUCUAUCGUAUAUGUGGCAUAUAACUACACUAUUGGCCUUCUUGAUAUUUUAAGCAUUUCCCUGCUAAGAAGGAUGAGCAAGGAAAUUUCUUCCCUGUUAACAGUAUAGUGGAGCUUCUUCAUUUGUAUUUAUUCAACCUCUAUUCCCAUUCAGGUUGUUUUCUUAAGCUACCUAAAGGAGCUCUCUAUUGACAUCAAUUUAGGAGGGCCAGCAGUAUCCUUGAUUGAGUACAGGUGUGUGCCUCGGCCUCCAGUCUGAAUGAACAACCCUUGUAUUGUCUGGUAGUGACCUAUAUGUGUUUAUGGUUCAUAAGGGAAUAAGAAAGGCCGGUAAGAUCGUCUUCUGUUGGUGAAGGUCUGUGUUAUAGAUUGUUACAACCAUUCUUUAGCUCGAGUUUUUUUAAUUGGAGAAGCCAAAAGAUGGAUUUCACAGGUCGACAAAAAAGGUUGAUGUACAUUUAUAAACCGCCUAGCAUGGAUAAUUACACCCAAUAAACAUUGCAAUGCAUCCAUAGGUUGUUCCGUGAUUUUGUAAUCUGUGACUCUUGAAAACUUGCUUUUAUGUCCUGACUCAAUAUUUGUUUUGACCAUUGGCCUUCCUAGCAGGAUGCUUGCAGUUCCAAUACCAUCAUGACUAAUUUGUGCAGUCCUCAUUUUUUAAUUCUGAGCCUUUUGUGCUUCUUAGUUGUGAUAUAGUUUGAUUAGGAAAGGCAACAACAAAACUACGUCCUGGAAAUGUCAUUCUGCUUGGUCUUACGAGUUUACUGAAUUGAAAAACUCUUGUUUCAAUGUUUUUAAUGCUCACACCAUUAUGUCAAGCAAAAUUAUGGGGUACAUGUCUUUGCUAAUACCUCCAAUUUAUUCUCUGCAGUGAAGAAUCAAGCUUAUCUAUUUUAGGUCAGUGUUUUUUGUAUUCACUAAAUAAUGCCAGGGGUGAAGCCUAAACUAAGCAGUGUGCGUGAGGAAGGCAAGCGUGCUGGCGAGCGUGGGGGCGACCAUGAUGUGGCUCGGAGAAAGGGUGCACAUGGGAUUACUACCCAUUGGGUCUGCAAAUAUGAGAGUGGCAAGGCAUGGGUAUUUAGCUCUAGUUGUGUGUGGGCUGCUCGAGCUGCGCGCCAAUGUGGAGGCCCUGCACCGCCGCCGAUGGGCUGAUUUUGUUGCACGUCGUGGUGGGGACGCCCGUGUGUGCGCUGCUUGUGCUGGGCGCUGAUGUGGACGCCCCAGAUCGGAUGGGACGCCGUUGGAGCUGCCGCGGGAUAUGGUGGUGGUCCGUCGAUGGAGCUGGGAGCAGACGCGGAGGCAAUGGGCUCGACUCUCUGUGUGCAAAUCAUGAUGACUUGGAGCACUGUCAUGGGAAGUUUUUAUUCAUCUUUACCUAUAUUUAUUGGAUUAGGUUCCAUUGGCAGGUGAGAUUCUUAUCCUAAAUGCUUUAUUCUAUUUUUGCCAAGACACUUCUCCUUAAUAUGUUUAAUAUUCAUAAUAAAUUUCUAAUGCAUUUCUAAUUAGGAUUUUUUCUAAUGGUGAUUAAAUCUGUCAUAGCGUCAACAGGUUAAAGACGAUGUACCCUUUUCCCGUUUAGAUACCAACCAUUGCAUUCAGCAGUCAGAUCUGUUGCUUAUUUAUUUGUAGAAUCAAGUGGGUUAAAAGCAUCUAUUAACGACACUUCAAUAAAACACUCUUUUCUUAUUUGUGUGAGUACUAUUUGUUUCACCUUUUGCACCUCAUCAUCAUAGCAUCUGGUUUCAAAAAUGAAUGACUACUUGCGAAGGUAUUGUUUUUAGUUUCUUCUUUUUGGUUCAACUUCUUUGAUUUUCAGUAGUUGGUCCAUUAAUCAUCUAAAAUUUUCAGUAAGAUGUUUCUACAUCAUAUUCUUGAAUGUUCCUGAUUUCACAUCCAUGGUAUCUGCUUUGCCUUAGUACCUGUUCAAGCUUCACUCAUGAUUUGUUGCUUUCUCCCUAUCAGUCUUACCAUUUUGUUUUGCUUGCUUUACCUUGUAGCUUCUUCCAGUAGUUGUUUUUUUCCUUUAUGUCAGAGCUGCUCUGUCACACUUCUUAUGCUUUUACGAUGUCCUAAUAAAAGUUUUGUGUGGGCAGAUAAUUUUUUGCUUACUACAAACCGUAAGAAACUGAAGCUUACUGAUUUGGGGCUUGCACGAGAGGAAACUAUAACUGAAAUGAUGACGACUGAAACUGGGACAUACCGAUAUGGACAUAGAGUUCGUUGAAGAUAGAGGUCUGGCAUUGUAUUGAAGCUCAACUCCGCACGAAAGUGUACAACUUCACAAUCUGAUGGAAAAGAACUUUGGUGAUAUAGGCCAGGGCGGAGGACGUUGUCAAUGGAAAACAUGGCUCCACAUGAAGGUUCACUUGCCAAUAGUCUUCAAGAAGAUGCGAAGGUCAUGGUUUUGUGUUGAUGACCCUUGAAAAAAUACCUUCUCAUUUUCUUGUUUGAAGGAACGCUAGGAGGAAUUGAGGAUGCGAAAAAUGUACGGAGGAAAGGGAGACUAGGAGAGGUGCACGGUGAGGCAUCGACGAAUCCUAAAAGAGAACUUUUGUCACGGUGUUCUCAUAUCCAAACUUGAAUCAAGUAUGCUUUUUGAAUGGCUUGCACUAAAGCAGAUUAUAAUUCUUAUACUUGUGUUUUGAAUUGACUACAUGUUGUCGUCUCCUCUUGUAUACAUCUUCUGUAUCUACGAUUUUGUGAUGGGUUGUUAAGCUACCAUUCAAGGGAAUGCAUGUUGACAAAUGUAUUGAUGCUUCCUUGAGUCUACUAAUAAUAUAUUUGUAAUGUAUUUUUCACUGAAAAAAGCACCACUAAUAGCACGCUGUAGAAUUUUCUAGCUAAAUAAAUCAAUGUACACUGCCUCGCUAAUAGAAUGCCAUAGUGCGAUAUAGCAUGCUAAUAGCGUAUUUUAAGGCCGCUCCUAUUUUGUUAUAGCGCGCUACUUUUUUGAUUGAUUUUUUUAGAGUUUAUCUCUACUCCUAAUGUCUUAGUUGGUAGUCUCCGUUCCACGGUUAAUUUUCGUCCCACCGAUCGUGGUUUUUUUUGUCCUCCCUCCCACCUUCCAGCGAUUCCCUCCUAAACUGCUGCGCUUCGGAUCCACCUGCCACUUCACCGGAGACGAACACUGUCGCGGAUGCGAGUAGAACGGGACCAGACCGAGCACCCGUGCCUGUUUCAGUAAGCUAGCUGCGCCCGUCCUCGUUGGUCGUGCCGCACACAGCUCGUCGGAGCCCCUAGCCGCGCCGAUGCGGUGGUCGGCGGGCGGAGUCGCAUGGUCGACGGUCACGGUGAUGCGGCAGGGGGAGGGGAGAUGGCCGAGAUGUUGGAGUGAGUGGAGAAGAUAGGUGAAUGAGCCACAAGACCGGCCACGGCAUGGGAUUGAUGCGGUGGUCGGCGGGCGGAGUCGCGCGGUUGCGGGGUCGGUGACUCGCACGGCGAUGCGGUGGGGAGAGGGCGAGAGGUGGCGGGUGAGUGGAGAGGACCGGUGAGUGAGCCCCAAGAUCUACAGCGACAUGUGACAGAUCGACGGUCGGCGGGCGGAGUCGCGCGGGCCGGCUCGUCGAGGCACGCGGCGAUGCGGCGGGGGAGGGUAAAGUGCGAGAGGAAUUGAGUGAGUGGAGGGGAUAGUGGUGAGUGAGUGGGGUUAGGGUUGGGAUACGGCGGGGGGAGAGGAAAAGGCGAGGGAUGGCCAGUGAGUCUAGAGGCCAGCGUGCCAGAUGGGCCGUCGAGCCGGCCCGUGAGGCAACUUUGUCAUGCCUGGGCCGGGGAGGCCAGCACGCGUGCCUGUCGGAGAAGUGUCGUGCCUGGCACUACCAAUAUGGAAAUAGGGGUUAUAAAUCACUCUUUUCCACACUAGAUAGUCAAUAUUGAAAAAAUUAGGAACUAAAGCCGAAAUAAAAUGGUUCAUAGUUGUAGUUUCCCGAGUAGAUGCUUCAAAUUAUACUUCAAUUUGUAUGCCCUCGUGAUAAAUUUCCGCCUGAAGUUUCUAGAGCUCACUGAUUUUAGGACCUUCUAUACAAAGAGAAAUCUUAUGCUCUAGAAUUUGUGUAUGAAGCUUGCUUUAAUAACAAUCGCAGAUAUAAUUAUAUUCUUCAAUUAAGUAAUGAUAAUGUAAUAUUACAUCCUGUCAUUUACAAUAAGAUAGACAAGUGACCUUAAGUAUAGGGUUUCAAGCUAUUUAACGCUCAAUGCUUGUUAUAUGAUUCUCCGUGGUAACAUCAACUGAGUUGGCCAUCAUAAUUGGCACUGAACAUCCAAAGUUAAGUUUGUGCUCACCAUUUCACGAUUGUAUUUUUGGUACUGCUAUUUUCAUAUUACUAGUUCGCUGAAGAUAGAGCUCUGGCAUUUUGUUGAAGCUCAACUCAGCAUGAAAGUGUACAACUUCACUGUUAUGUUCUGGCACUUGAAUUUGCUAUGCUUUUCAUGCUACGAAUUUCCUGCUAGAAAUACUUACACAUUCAUUCUUAAAUCAUCUUGUUAUAUGGCAUUGUAGAUCUGAUGGAAAAGAACUUCUAUGAUAUAGGCCAGGGUGGAGGACCUUGUCAAUGGAAAACAUGGCUCCGCAUGAAGGUUCACUCGCCAAUAGUCUUCAAGAAGAUGUGAAGGUCAUGGUUCUGUGUUGAUGCCCCUUGAAAAAAAUAUCUUCUCAUUUUCUUGUUUGAAGGAACGCUAGGAGGAAUUGAGGAUGCGAAAAAUGUACGGAGGAAAGGGAGACUAGGAGAGGUGCACGGUGAGGCAUUGACGAAUCCUAAAAAGAGAAACUAUUGUCACGGUGUUCUCAUAUCCAAACUUGAAUCAAGUAUGCUUUUUGAAUGGCUUGCACUAAAGCAGAGUAUAAUCCUUAUA